AACGAACGCUGGCGGCAUGCCUAACACAUGCAAGUCGAACGAGACCUUCGGGUCUAGUGGCGCACGGGUGCGUAACGCGUGGGAACCUGCCUUUAGGUUCGGAAUAACGAAGAGAAAUUUGAGCUAAUACCGGAGGAUGUCUCCGGACCAACGAUUUCUCGCCUUUAGAUGGGCCCGCGUUGGAUUAGCUUGUUGGUGGGGUAAAGGCCUACCAAGGCGACGAUCCAUAGCUGGUCUGAGAGGAUGAUCAGCCACACUGGGACUGAGACACGGCCCAGACUCCUACGGGAGGCAGCAGUGGGGAAUAUUGGACAAUGGGCGAAAGCCUGAUCCAGCAAUGCCGCGUGAGUGAUGAAGGCCUUAGGGUUGUAAAGCUCUUUUACCCGAGAUGAUAAUGACAGUAUCGGGAGAAUAAGCUCCGGCUAACUCCGUG
This 433-nucleotide ribosomal RNA is filed under the name uncultured bacterium. Its description in RNAcentral is "partial 16S ribosomal RNA". It matches the Rfam family "Bacterial small subunit ribosomal RNA", at positions 29 to 507 of the family's 1533-position model. The record is from RNAcentral.